Molecule: RNA transcript, 9581 nt
Organism: Manis pentadactyla (Chinese pangolin)
Lineage: Eukaryota; Metazoa; Chordata; Mammalia; Pholidota; Manidae
Gene: EPB41L5
Gene name: erythrocyte membrane protein band 4.1 like 5
Exons: 18
Source: RefSeq, a predicted model, not a curated record
CUCCCCAGUAGGAUUAAAGUUGCUUUAACAGCAUGGCAGUAAAUAGUUGUUGAAUGAAUGAAUUUCUUAACGAAAGGAUGAAUGGAUCUAGCAGUACCUUAUUAUGGGCUCCGACGGCACUUAAGCCACCUCUGAGAGGGGACUAGUUUUGGGGUUCGCGGCCAACCGCACCCCCUCCGAGGGUGCAGAUCUGAUAGCUCGGGUUGGCUUCGGCAGCGCCCCUUUAAACCGGCCGCCUGCGCCGGUUGCAGGUCGGGCCCUCCUGGCAUCGCUGAUUUAACACGAAGUCUCGCCCAGCGCAGCGAUUUCCGGGGCGGUGUCAUUGCCCAUUUAAGAGUGGAAAGCCCCGCCCCGGGGGCGGAGCGUGGAAGAGCUUUAAGGGGCGGGUCGGCCGGCCGCUGGGGUCCUUAGAGGGGGUAGUGCGCGGCUGCUGCGGGGCUCAGGCCGCCAUUUCUCGCAGCCUCCAGAGAGUCGUCCUCUCUGCGGACUCGCUCCAGACCUCUCCCGUCGCGUCGUCGGCGCCCCGCGCCCCCUUCGUCGCUGCAUUGUCGUCCCCGGUCUAGUGACAAAAAUGCUGAGCUUCUUCCGAAGAACACUUGGGCGUCGGUCAAUGCGUAAACAUGCAGAGAAGGAGCGACUCCGGGAAGCUCAGCGAGCUGCCAUACACAUUCCUGCAUCUGGAGAUGCUAAGUCUGUCAUCACAUGUCGGGUGUCCCUUCUGGAUGGCACUGAUGUUAGUGUGGACUUGCCGAAAAAAGCCAAAGGACAAGAGCUGUUUGAUCAGAUUAUGUACCACUUGGACCUUAUUGAAAGUGACUAUUUUGGACUGAGAUUUAUGGAUUCCGCACAAGUUGCACAUUGGUUAGAUGGUACAAAGAGCAUCAAAAAGCAAGUAAAAAUUGGUUCACCAUAUUGUCUGCAUCUUCGAGUUAAAUUUUAUUCCUCAGAACCCAAUAAUCUUCGUGAAGAGCUAACCCGGUAUUUAUUUGUUCUUCAGUUAAAACAAGAUAUUCUCAGUGGAAAAUUAGACUGUCCCUUUGGUACCGCAGUGCAGUUGGCAGCCUUUACUCUGCAAGCUGAACUUGGUGACUAUGAUCUUGCUGAACAUAGUCCUGAACUUGUAUCAGAGUUCAGGUUUGUGCCCAUUCAGACGGAAGAGAUGGAGCUGGCUAUUUUUGAGAAAUGGAAGGAAUACAGAGGUCAGACACCAGCACAAGCUGAAACCAAUUAUCUGAAUAAAGCCAAAUGGCUAGAAAUGUAUGGGGUUGAUAUGCAUGUGGUCAAAGCUAGAGAUGGGAAUGACUAUAGCUUGGGACUAACCCCUACAGGAGUCCUUGUGUUUGAAGGAGAGACCAAAAUUGGCUUAUUUUUUUGGCCCAAGAUAACCAGAUUGGAUUUUAAGAAGAAUAAAUUAACCCUGGUGGUUGUAGAAGAUGAUGAUCAGGGUAAAGAGCAGGAACAUACAUUUGUCUUCAGACUGGAUCAUCCGAAAGCAUGCAAACAUUUAUGGAAAUGUGCUGUGGAGCAUCACGCAUUCUUCCGUCUUCGAGGUCCUGUACAAAAGAGUUCUCAUCGAUCAGGAUUUAUUCGACUAGGAUCACGAUUUAGAUACAGUGGGAAAACCGAGUACCAGACCACAAAAACCAAUAAAGCAAGAAGAUCGACAUCCUUUGAAAGAAGGCCCAGCAAACGAUAUUCUCGACGAGCCCUACAAAUGAAAGCGAGUAUAGCAAAACCUGAAGAACUCAGUAUUCACAAUAAUGUUUCAACUCAGAGUAAUGGCUCCCAACAGGUUUUGGGUAUGAGAUCUACUCUGCCUACGAUUCCUUCUGUACCCUCUGGUCCUGUGCUGGUGGAGAUAGCGAAUCUUCCACGGAGUCCUGGAACAGACCAGCAUGGCAGGAAAUGGCUCUCUGCUGCCAGUGACUGCUGUCAACGUGGUGGAAACCAGUGGAACACAAGGGCCUUGUCCCCAUCCCAGCCUGCACAUAGAAACUACACUGACUUUGUCCAUGAGCACAAUGUGAAGAAUGCAGGAGUCCAUCCUGAUGUUCAUUUUCCUGGCCAUGCAGCCAUGACUGAGAUAUGAGGGUUAACACUUAGGCACUGGGACUGUUUGUCAUGUAAGCUGAUGGUAUACAAGUUGAUGGUAUAUAUUUUCUAGUGUUUGUAGAGGAUUGGCCACAUCAGGAGAACUUGGGAGAAGUUACUUUAUAUUGUGUCACUAGUUGUGUCGUGUUUGUAAUUAAAUUCUGUGAAAGGGAAAAGGAUCUGAGGAAGCUAUGAAGCCAUCAAUGAUAAUGACAAUGUUUUUGUGCUGGAAAUAAUACGUGUACCAUUGUAAUUUUGGGAGGGUUUUAACAUCUCAGAAGAUGUCUCAGGAGAAGGUUUAUGUUUGUCAGCAAGCUGCCCACCUGCCCCAUGCCAUCCAAAUAGACUGAGGUUAAAAGAAUCAAUCAGACACACUUAAAGCAAACUCAAUAGGAGGCAUGUCCAGAUGUAAAUAGAAAAAGUCAAGAGACAGUCAUCCCGUGUAGUGUGGCAGGCUCUCAUGGUGGGAGCAACAAUCAUUUGGACCAUGGUACUUUGAUUCUUUCGGUUGGGCCAUAUACUCUUUUUCUAGUCCAUAGUUCAAAAUAAUGGAAAGGUCAUUAUUUUCUUGUGUUAAUUAAUUUCUUUGAAUAUUGGGUUUAGAAGUAAUAAUAUCAAAUUGCAUUUAUUUGUUUUUUUUGUCCUUGAUUUAUAUGGCUUGUCAUAUAGAUUUGCAAAAAUAAAUUCAUCUUAUGCCAAAGACACUUAAUCUCUUCAGUGCCACAUACUUUUAUCCUGUGUUUUAAUAUAAAUUAUACCACAUCAUCAGUUAUACCUUGCCCCAGAAUUGUUUUGAAUGCUUUCAUGUGAGAUGCUUUUAUGUAAGGGAUAAAAUUUGAAGAUGCUUCUGUGAGGAGGACACAUCUGUCUCUUUCUCUCUGUGUGUGCUUCUAUCUCAUGUAUAAAAUAUGAUUUGUCAGAUCCUUUUUAGAUAUUAUGAAUCUCAUAGUCCCUUUUUUGAAGAACAUAAAAAUUUCUUAUCCUCUGUUCAGAUAUAUUAACUUUAGUCACAUGAAGUCAUUGUGAGAAUUUUCUCUUGCUCAGUUGACAUUAACCUUGGUGGUAUAGACAUUAGGACACAAAGCCUGUAACUUUCUAUGGAAAACAUGUUAUGUAACUUAAUUUCUUUCUUCGAUUCUUGGCCAUUGCUAAUGUAUGAUACACUUUAGCUGCUUUGAGCUCUUUGGAUUGGUGGGAAAGAUUAUAAUAUCAGAAAAUUAGAGCUAAUUCUCAGAGAAUUCAUGAAGAGAAAAUGCUAGAAGAAAUAGGUAAAAGGACAAAAAAUCUUCUGUAGUUUUUUAAUGAUACAUUUUAAUUUUUGUCCUGAAGCAGAAAAACAAGUGUUCCUGUUUUUCCUGAACAAAUUUUUUAUUAUUGGAUAAUUACCUAAGCCUCUGUGUUCUUAACAAGAAGCUGUGGCCUUAAUUCUAGGUGAUGGUGCUUGAGUGACCUUUUUCCAUUUUGUUCCUGACAGCUGGCCAGUAUUUUGUUUAUAUUGGCAAGGAGAAGAGGUAUGCUACUCGGAGAACAACAUUCUCCAAGGAGUGUGACUGAAGACUCCCUUAAUGUAAUAAACCUCUGCCGCCUCCUCUUAAAAACAGGUUCAAGAGCUACAGAUCAUAUUUUUUGUUGUUGAGGGAAUUCUUGUUUGUUUUGUUUUUAAUUAAUUGUAAUGGAAUGAGAUUAUACCAGUGAAUGGUUAGGAUUUGUAAGAAGUUGCAGAUUGCUUAAUAAAGUUCUGACUGAUGACUGGUUAUUGUCAAUAUGAAAAAGAUUUUAAAUUAUUAGGGGUGGAAUAAAAGAAAAGAAUGAGAGAUGAUAAGUAAAAUACAAUAGCUGGUCUGUUUUGUAUCAUAGAACUAGUUAGAGGAGCAUCCAGAGAAAUUAGGGAAAAUAUCCCAGGAAAUAAAAUACCACUAGAAUAUACACCAUUACACAGAAGAGUUAGUUUCUUGAAACAAAGCUGGGCCAUGAGCCCAGCCAUCAGCUUCAUGGAUUGUUUAAUUAUAAACUCUCUGGGAGUUUGGAGAUAGAUUUAUGUUUAACAAUUCAUAUUAAUUCUUUCUGGGGACACUGUCAGCAAAACCUCUGGAAGUCUUUACCAAGACUUGGGAAGGUCAAGACUUACCCAGAUUACCACUUUGAUUAGAAUUCAACAGAUGUGUUGGAGCAAUAGCUGUUCAUAGUGUUUGAGUAGGUUGGAAAGGCACUGAUUAUCGGUCUGAGGAGUUUAGAUUUGGUAAGGAGGCAUGGGGCAAUCAUGGCAAGUUUUUAUGUGAAAGAUUUUGGGAGUUUUGUAUUCACAUAUCCUUUUUUGAUUACCUAAUUAUUGGUCAAAUACUUAACAAAGUACCUCCUUUUUCCUCACUUCCUUAAACACAGUCACUUAUAAUUACACCCUUGAGUGUCCCCUCAAAUUUCUUGACCAUUCCCCUGUUGUACGUAUCUGAUUCAAUCCUGGUCAAAUCCACCUCUGUCCACUGUGCAUGUAAAUGAUGAAUGUGAAAUGUGAAAUUGUUGAAUGGUCUCACUUUAAAUUCUAAAGUCAAGUGUGUCUUCAGUGAUACCUGAAAUCCUGUCACCUUUCCUUAAUCUACUCAUUCUCCCACUGUGCUGGCAAUAAUUUCUCCUCUUUCAGACCACCACCACUUCUCCACUCCUCACUCUCAGCUAAUGACAUUGCUUCCUGUUGUAUUGGGAAAAUAAGCAAGCAGAAGAGGUCUUCUGUACUCUUCCACCAUCCUAUUGAUUAACAAACCAUUUGGUCAUACCUGCUGUCUUCCCUGCUCUUGCUGUAGGAGUAUGCAUUUACUUAAGGCCCACCUCUCCAUUUAUCUACAAGAUCUUGACUCUUGGCUACUCAAGAACUUUAUUUCUGCAAUUCUAUUUUUCUUGUUCUACAGCGUUGGGCUUCCUUCUCUCCUAGAAUAUUCUCAUCAGCAUGAAAACAGCCUGUGAUAUCUCACAUCAUAAGAAAAGAAACCCUCCCUUUAAUCCACCUCCCUUUUGGUUAUUCCCUCAUGUCUUUGUUCCACUGAUAGGUAAACUCCUUGCCAUGGAAGAAUUUUCUAUACUCACUGUCUCCUCUGUCCCUUCUCACUCUAUUUUGAAUCCACUCUAAUCAGACAUCGUCUCUGCCAACUAAGCUGUUUUGUCUGAUUGUGCAGGUUAUGCACUGCACAGGACUGCCACAUUCAGGACAGUCACAUAUUUAUGCCAGUGGUUUUCCAGCAGAUGGCACUAAAUUUCAUUUUUUUCUAAUGAAAUCAAUACGAGUUUUGCAAGAAUGAAAGUAAAGUGUCUUCAUUGUUUAAAUCCAUACAAAUGUUCUACGUGAGCUAGUAAUGUUAUGUUACCACUCUACCAAAAUAGCUUUUGUUCACAAAUGUUCCCCGUAUUUCUAAUCCCACAGUCAACCUUCAAUUUACUAGCAUUCAGAACAGUUGCUCACCACCUUCUUCAUGAAAAGUUUUCCUUUCUUAGCUUAAGUACACCAUCCUCCUUUGUUGUUUUCCUACCUCACUAGCCAUCAUUUUAGCCAUCACUAACUAAACCUUUUUAGUUUCUCCUUAUCUCCCUAACCCCCUAAACUUUAUCUUAGGACCUUUUCUGUAACAACUUAUUUCCUUGCUAAUCUCAUAUAGUGUUAGGAUUUUAAGCACCAUACAUACACUGGCAAUUUUCCAAUUUCUGUCAUCAGCCAGGAUCUCUGUAUUUCCAGACUUACAUAUCCAACUGCCUUUAUGACAUCUCUACUUAGAUACCUAAUAUAGGCAACUUAAUCUUUAAAAACUUUAUUUUGAAACAAUUUUGGGAUUACAGAAUGUUGCAACGAUAGUGCAGAGAAUUUCCCACACCCUCCCUCAUUAGCUUCCCCUAAUGUUACCAUCCUACAUAACCAUGUAUAAUGGGACAAUUAUGAAAACUAAGAAACUAACAUUGGUACACUACCACUAAACUUGGACCUUACCAGAUUUCACCAGUCUUUACAGAAAUGUUCCAGGAUCUGAUCCGAGACCCUAUGUUGCGUCCAUCUGUGACAUUCAGGCAUUCUAUUUCUUUGACCACAUUUUGAAGAAUACUGGUCAGAUACCUUGUAGGAUGCCCCCUAAUUUGAGUGUGUGUGAUAUUAUCCUGUGAUUAGAUUAAGGCCAUGAAUUUUGAGGAAAAAUACUAAAGGUGAUAGUUGGGACUUCUCAGAUUUAUUAUAUUCAAAAUGGGGCUCCUGGUUCAGUUUUUCUUUUAAGGGCAGUUUUUCCUAGCUCAGUAAUCAGUUCUGUUUCUCCUGUUGGUAGACUAGGAAAGUCUCAGGCCGCACUCCAUAUCUACUGAAUCAGAGACACUGGAGCUGAGGCCCGACUACUUUAGCAUGCCUGCCUGGAGAUUCUGAUAUGUACUGGAGUGGGCAAAGCACUGGCCUAGAUCGUAGCACCUAAUAACCAUCUUGACUUCUCUUUGUCUCUGCCUAUCAGUCAGUAAAUUCUGUCCAUGCUUUCUUCAAAAUGUAUGGAGAAUGCACCACUUUUCGCCACCUCCACUGCCCCCAUCCUAUUUCAGCUUAGCAUCAUCCAUGACCUUUUACUUAACCUGGCCUCCCAGCCAUCACCCUUGCUCCUCUGCUGUCUCCUCUCCCCCUUGACAGCUGUGACAAUUGUUAACCUAGAUCACGCCAUUCCUCUGCUCUGUGUUCCAGGGUCCUUAUCUCAGACUAAACCCAAAAUCUUCAUAUUGGCGAAACAAAACAAAACAAAACGAUUUUUCUCACCCCCUUAUCUUCUACCAAUUUUGACAUAAUUGACUUGCCUCCAAAGAUGUGCUCAGAUAUACCAAGCAUGUUGCCUCUCAGGAUCUUUGUACUUUUACCUCUGCCUGAAUACUCUUCCCUUGAAUCUCUUAUGGUUCAUUCUGACACCUAUAGGUUUCUUAUCAAAGAAACCUUUCCUGACCUCUCUGUAAAAUAAUCAUGGGCCCCCCACUCUCCCUGGUAUUCCCUGUCUACCUUUACCCUAUGUUUUUCCUCACCUUACUUCAUCUUACAUGUUUACUUGUUUGUCAUCUCUGUAUUCUUCAAUAAAAUGUAAACUUCAUCAAGGGAGAGCAUUUAUUUUGUUUACUCCUCUAUCCCCAGAACAGUGCCUGGCUUGGCACUCCAUAAAUAUUAUUCAAUUGGCUGACUAAAUGAAUACCAAACACAUCUUGGCACACAUGGUGAUGCAGAAAUAGUCAAAAUGCUGCCCUUCAGUUCAAGAAAUUUACAUUUAAAUUGUGGAGAUGACGGCUUCACAAAUAACUGAUACAAGUGCUAAGUCAUGAGGCAAGCAAGGUCAGAAGAGUAGUAGAGGUUGAAUUUAAGGCUUCAUGACAUUUGCCUCAAUUUUUGAGGGAUACAUAGAAGAAUCAGGAACAUUGGAUGGUAAGUCAUUAGGAACUAAGCUAUAGCAAAAGAAAAUUUGAAAGUAGCAGAGCACAGGGUUUAGUUGAGGAAUGAUGAAUAGGAUUUGAGUAAUGAGGAUUGAAUUCAUGGGGAGAUACAGUAAUGAUAGCUGGCAUUGAGUGUUUCUGUGCCUGACAUUGUUCUGGAGUAAACAUUUACUCCAUCCAGCAAAUUGCUUAAUCCUUAGAGGAAUCUCUAAGGUAUUUAGGCCAGUGAAGAAAUGAAGGCCUUACAGUAAAGGGUGUGUAAUUUGUCCAGAGUUGCACUGCUAGUAUGUGGUAAGGCUGGGCUUCAGACUCAGGUAGGUCCUAGAGCCCAGACUGCCAUCUGCCUACUGUACUGACUCCAUACAGUGUAAAGGUGGUGGGGCCUAGACUGUGGAGAGGAAAAAGGGGUAUAAUAACAGUUCUGCUUUAGGAAGAUAAUUCUGAGGGCACUAUGAAGAAUGAAUGUCAACUGGUGGAAGAUUGGGUAAUUAAAAUUUGCUUUACCCAUACUAUGUAGUGGUUAUAGAAUAAGAAAAAUUCUUCAUAUUGCUGUUACUGGAUUAUGUCAGCAAUACACUGUUGAGUUACAAACAGGUUCCCAUUUUUGUAAAAAAUCAUUAAGCUAUGUAUAUAUUUGUAAAUGCACAGAAAUGGACCUCAAUAAACUGAGUUUUUAGAGGGGAGAUAAAGGAGACAUUGCUUUUCUUAGCAUGUACUACUUUAAAUAAAAGCAAACUUCCUCAAAUGUAGUGGGGAACAAGACAAAUUGCCUCAUUUUGUAUAGGUUUCCAUGAAAAAGGAGAUGGACAUAAAAGGUUAUGUCCUUAAAUAUUCCUUUAUACAGUCUUGAGAAAUGGACGUGUACUGGGACAUUGUCAAAGCCAAAGAUUGAAAAUGUAAUGUCUAUCUUCAUUUUUAAAACUUUUAUAAAGUUUACAGUCCAUCAGUUUUUAGCAUAUUCACAAAGGUAUACCACUAUCACCACAAUAACUCCCAAAACCUUUUCAUCAUCCCCCCAAAGUCUCUUACUCAUUGGCAAUUACUUCCUAUUCCCUCCACCGAGGUCCUGGCAAACACUGAUCUACUGUCUUUAUGGAUUUACUCAUCCUAGAAAUUUUCUGUCUGUAGAAUCCAAAUAUGUGGCCUUUUGUAUCUGGUUUCUUUCACUUAGCAGAGUGUUCUUGAGGUUCUUCCAUGUCACAGCAUGAAUGAGUACUUGAUUCCUUUCAAUGGUUUAAUAUAUUACCUUGUGUGAUACACAGCAUUUUAUUUGUCCAUCAGUCAGUGGACAUUUGGAUUUCCACACUUUGGUUAUUGUGAAUAAUGCUGCUAUGAACAUUCAUGGACAGGGUCUUUUUUUUUAUGAACAUGGGUUUUCAAUUCCUUUGGGUAUAUACAUAGCAGUGGAAUUGCUGGGUCAUAUGGUAACUAUGUUUAAUGUCUUAAAAGUACUCACCAAAUUGUUUUCCAAAGCAGCUGCACCAUAUUUCCAUUUCUACCAGCAAUUUUGUUGUUUGCCUUUUUCAUUAUAGGCAUUGUAGGAUGGUGGCUCAUUGUCGUUUUGAGUUGCAUUUUCAGGGGGCCAGUAAUGCUUGAUUUUUUUUUUUCAGUUCUAUUAUUUAUUUAUUAAAUUUUUUUUAUUAAUAUCAUUGAUAUACAAUCUUAUGAAGGUUUCACAUGAACAACAUUGUGGUUACAACAUUCACCCAUAUUAUCAAGUACCCCCCACAAGCACCCCAUUGCAAUCACUGUCCAUCAGUGUAGUAAGAUGCCACAGAGUCACUACUUGUCUUCUCUAUGCUAUUCAGUUCCAUUAGUUUUGACAAAUACACAACCAAGAUACAAAACAGUUUCAUUACCCCCUCAAAAUUCCUUUGUGUUACUCCUUUGUAAUUAGCCCUUCCCUUAACCUCCAACUCCUGGCAAAGCCAGGAUCUGUUCUCUGCUGUUGUAGUUUUGCCUUUUCCAGAAUCAUGUAAAUGGACUCACACAAUACAUCUGGCUUCUUUUAUUUAACAUAGUACAUUUGAGAUCCAUCCAUAUUUUUGUAUCAUUGGCUCAUUCCUUUU